UAUUUGGAGAGUUUGAUCCUGGCUCAGAACGAACGCUGGCGGCGUGCUUAACACAUGCAAGUCGAACGAGAAAGUCCGCAAGGAUGAGUACAGUGGCGACCGGGUGCGUAACACGUAGGUAAUCUACCCUUUAGUUUGGGACAACAGUCCGAAAGGAUUGCUAAUACCGAAUAAGACCACAGAGACUUUGGUCACAGAGGUUAAAGGUGGCCUCUACUUGUAAGCUAUCACUAAAGGAGGAGCCUGCGCGCUAUUAGCUAGUUGGUGAGGUAACGGCUCACCAAGGCCAAGAUGGCUAGCUGGUCUGAGAGGACGACCAGCCACACUGGAACUGAAACACGGUCCAGACUCCUACGGGAGGCAGCA
This 366-nucleotide non-coding RNA is filed under the name Deltaproteobacteria bacterium RIFCSPHIGHO2_02_FULL_38_15. RNAcentral's name for it is "bacterial SSU rRNA". It matches the Rfam family "Bacterial small subunit ribosomal RNA", at positions 1 to 353 of the family's 1533-position model. Lineage: Bacteria; Deltaproteobacteria. The record is from RNAcentral.